This 59-nucleotide transfer RNA is filed under the name Cordylochernes scorpioides. RNAcentral's name for it is "tRNA-OTHER". Lineage: Eukaryota; Metazoa; Arthropoda; Arachnida; Pseudoscorpiones; Chernetidae. The record is from RNAcentral.
UGCAUCGGCCGGGAAUCGAACCCGGGCAGGCGAGCAUUCUACCACUGAACCACCGAUGG